AUUGAACGCUGGCGGCAGGCCUAACACAUGCAAGUCGAGCGUGAAAGUCCUUCGGGAUGAGUAAAGCGGCGGACGGGUGAGUAACGCGUGAGCAACCUGCCUUUCACAGGGGGAUAAGGCGGCGAAAGCCGCUCUAAUACCGCAUGAGACCACGGGGAUGAUAUUUCUGGGGUCAAAGGAGCAAUCCGGUGAGAGAUGGGCUCGCGUCCGAUUAGGUAGUUGGUGAGGUAACGGCCCACCAAGCCAAUGAUCGGUAGCCGGCCUGAGAGGGUGAACGGCCACAUUGGAACUGAGAGACGGUCCAAACUCCUACGGGAGGCAGCAGUGGGGAAUAUUGGGCAAUGGGGGAAACCCUGACCCAGCAACGCCGCGUGAGGGAAGAAGGUUUUCGGAUUGUAAACUCUGUUCUUGGAGAAGAGAAGAAGACGGUAUCCAAGGAGGAAGCCCCGGCUAACUACGUG
RNAcentral lists this ribosomal RNA (461 nucleotides) under uncultured bacterium. RNAcentral's name for it is "bacterial SSU rRNA". It matches the Rfam family "Bacterial small subunit ribosomal RNA", at positions 29 to 507 of the family's 1533-position model. The record is from RNAcentral.